UUCGCAAUGCCCGAAAGGGUGACGAAGCGACGCCGCGUGGGUGAGGAAGGCCUUCGGGUUGUAAAGCCCUGUCAGGAGUUAAGAAAUGUAAGUGCGCUAAUAUCGCAUUUAUUUGACGAAGGCUCCAAAGGAAGCCACGGCUAACUCUGUGCCAGCAGCCGCGGUAAUACAGAGGUGGCAAGCGUUGUUCGGAAUUAUUGGGCGUAAAGAGCACGUAGGUGGGUUUGUAAGUCAGAUGUGAAAGCCUUCUGUUCAACGGAAGAAUUGCAUCUGAAACUGCGAGUCUUGAGUGUAGGAGGGGAGAAUGGAACUUCUGGUGGAGCGGUGAAAUGCGUAGAUAUCAGAAGGAACGCCGGCGGCGAAAGCGAUUCUCUGGCCUAUUACUGACACUCAGUGUGCGAAAGCUAGGGGAGCAAACGGGAUUAGAUACCCCGGUAGUCCUAGCCGCAAACGAUGGGCACUAAGUAGAGGGGUUUU
RNAcentral lists this ribosomal RNA (477 nucleotides) under Candidatus Scalindua brodae. RNAcentral describes it as "bacterial SSU rRNA". It matches the Rfam family "Bacterial small subunit ribosomal RNA", at positions 365 to 832 of the family's 1533-position model. Lineage: Bacteria; Pseudomonadati; Planctomycetota; Candidatus Brocadiia; Candidatus Brocadiales; Candidatus Scalinduaceae. The record is from RNAcentral.